Long non-coding RNA from Nerophis ophidion (straightnose pipefish), 2980 nucleotides. RefSeq lists it as uncharacterized. Lineage: Eukaryota; Metazoa; Chordata; Actinopteri; Syngnathiformes; Syngnathidae. The record is from RefSeq and is a predicted model, not a curated record. The transcript is spliced from 3 exons.
CAUCCUGACUGGAGGACAAGUGAGGUCGGCCUGCCUGCGUCUUCUCUUUCACUUUCCUUUCAGCUUUGAGCCUCACGUCCUCCUCAGGACGCCCCAACAGACUGAGGGGGGUUUGAAUCCCAAGCAGCCCAAGUUCCUGCUUGAGAUGGUGGCGGAGGAACUUCACGACGACCAUGGAAAGGAUGAGGAGAGCGAGCACUCCGCCCACCGAUGCCCCGAUCGCAACCGCAAUCGUGGAGUCUCUCGGCGGCGGCACUGAGGGGAAAGGAUGAGGAAGUGCGGUUCCCCGCGAACGUGACCCGGUCGGCGAACGGGACCCUGUCUGGCAGCGUGACCCGGUCUGCAAAGCGCCGGGCCAUCAUUCCUUUCUUCUGGUUGUACACCAUAAACUACGGAGAGAAGUUAAGAAAGAGACGGUUUACAGUAAGUAGGGUUCGAACCUUGGCUAUGACAUUCUUACCAUUUUUUCCGUGUCGUUGACCGUUUCUUGGUAGGUCCAGUUCAUGACGAACUUGGGCGGGUAUAUUUUAUAGCAGGAAGUGAAAGUGCAGGGGAUUUUGAUAUCGGUCCCAUUCUUUACGUUGAUUUUACUGGGCACAAUGACGUCCAUGCAUAGAGAACCUGCAAGGAAAAACAUUUCGUUACUAGCUGAGAGAUUAAACUGCCGGUAAUCUAAACCCAGCAGGCACAAGACAUCGAUACAACGUUGAUUACACACAUACAUGUCCUUUAAAACGGACUUUGAAACAAGGUAAAUCCGACAAGUUUGUCAAAUUAUCGGCCCGUUUCCAAAUGACCUUUUGUGUCAAAGAUUUUGGAGAAAUGUGUUCUGGCACAACUGCAGCCUUUUUUUAGAUGAAAAUAGCACUUUAGAUCCAUUUCAGUCUGGAUACAAAGCUUUGCACAGUACUGAAUCUGCACUUUUAAAGGUUUUUAAUGACUUGCUUUUAAUGUCUGAUUCUGGCAGCUCUGCCAUUUUAGUGCUUUUAGAUCUUACAGCUGCCUUGGACACAGUCGACCACACAAUUCUUUUAGACCGCCUGAGAGACUGUGUGGGUGUCAGGGGGACUGCGUUAGCGUGGUUCAGAUCUUACCUGUCUGAGAGGUCCUUCUCUGUCAGGCUGGGGGACGCCACCUCCUCUUCUGCCCCGCUUUACUGUGGUGUCCCCCAGGGAUCUAUUUUAGGCCCCAUCCUGUUUGCUCUUUAUCUCCUCCCUCUUGGAGAUAUUUUUAAGAAACAUGGAGUGUUUUAUCACUUUUAUGCAGAUGACUGCCAAAUUUAUAUGCCGAUUUCAGUACUCUGGAAUGCCCUCCCGGUAACAGUUCGAGAUGCUACCUCAGUAGAAGCAUUUAAGUCUCAUCUUAAAACUCAUCUGUAUACUCUAGCCUUUAAAUAGACCUCCUUUUUAGACCAGUUGAUCUGCCGCUUCUUUUCUUUCUCCUAUGUCCCCCCCUCCCUUGUGGAGGGGGUCCGGUCCGAUGACCAUGGAUGAAGUACUGACUGUCCAGAGUCGAGACCCAGGAUGGACCGCUCGUCGGGACCCAGGAUGGACCGCUCGCCUGUAUCGGUUGGGGACAUCUCUACGCUGCUGAUCCGCUUGAGAUGGUUUCCUGUGGACGGGACUCUCACUGCUGUCUUGGAGCCACUAUGGAUUGAACUUUCACAGUAUCAUGUUAGACCCGCUCGACAUCCAUUGCUUUCGGUCCCCUAGAUGGGGGGGGGUUGCCCACAUCUGAGGUCCUCUCCAAGGUUUCUCAUAGUCAGCAUUGUCACUGGCGUCCCACUGAAUGUGAAUUCUCCCUGCCCACUGGGUGUGAGUUUUCCUUGCCCUUUUGUGGGUUCUUCCGAGGAUGUUGUAGUCGUAAUGAUUUGUGCAGUCCUUUGAGACAUUUGUGAUUUGGGGCUAUAUAAAUAAACAUUGAUUGAUUGAUUGAUUGAUUUCAAAAAGCCACGGCCCCCUGACACCCCUUCUUAACUGUCUAUGCGACGUCAAGGCUUGGUUAGCCCAGAAUUUUUUAAUAAUGAAUGAGGGAAAAACGGAAAUUUUAGUUUUUGGUCCGGCCCUCACUGACUUGGGACCAUUGCAAAAUGAUGUGCGUCCCAAAGUCACCAGCCUUGGCGUCACUAUAGACAGCCAUUUUAAACUAGACAAACAAGUCAAUGGCGUUUUAAAAUCGUGUUUUUAUCACCUUCGUCUUUUAGUAAAGGUUAAACCGUUUUUAUCUUUUAACCUUUUUGAACAAGUCGUGCAUGCUUUUAUUUCAAGUUGCCUGGACUACUGCAAUGCACUUUAUGCUGGCAUUAGCCAAAAAGCUCUCUCCCGGUUGCAGUUAGUCCAGAACGCGGCAGCACGACUUUUAACAGGGGCCAGGAAACGCCAGCAUAUAACCUCAAUUCUUCAGAGUUUGCACUGGCUCCCUGUUCAUUGUAGAAUUGAUUUUAAAACAUUGCUGUUUGUUUUUAAAUCUUUACAUGGACUGGCACCUCAAUAUAUCUCGGACCUUAUCCAAAUUUACAUUCCUGCGUGCGCUCUGAGGUCCGAGAGCCAGUUCCAGCUCGUGGUGCCCAAGACCAGACUUAAGACCAGUGGAGACAGGGCCUUCUCUGUGGUCGGCCCUAAGCUCUGGAACACUCUGCCCCUCCAUGUUCAAACUGCUUCCACAGUGGAGUGUUUUAAGUCUCGUCUUAAGACCCACUUUUAUUCUUUGGCUUUUAACACUACGUGAGUUGUGUGGUCCUCUGUGUUUUUUAUACACUUUGAUUUCUAUUUUACUGUUUUAAUCGAUUUUACCCUUUAAAAUAGUUUUUAAUCAUAUUUGUUUUUAUAUUAUUUUUAUUGGUUUUAUUUUUAUUCAUUUUUUGUUUUAUUCAGUCAUUGGUGGAGCAUAAUAUUGUUUUUAACAUGGCUGUGCAGCACUUUGGAAACGUUAUUGUUGUUUAAAUGUGCUAUAUAAAUAAAGUGGAUUGGAUUGGAUCGAA